This 462-nucleotide ribosomal RNA is filed under the name Vibrio sp. 06-028656. RNAcentral describes it as "bacterial SSU rRNA". It matches the Rfam family "Bacterial small subunit ribosomal RNA", at positions 250 to 704 of the family's 1533-position model. The record is from RNAcentral. Lineage: Bacteria; Pseudomonadati; Pseudomonadota; Gammaproteobacteria; Vibrionales; Vibrionaceae. RNAcentral also lists the same sequence under 3 other names.
UGGUGAGGUAAUGGCUCACCAAGGCGACGAUCCCUAGCUGGUCUGAGAGGAUGAUCAGCCACACUGGAACUGAGACACGGUCCAGACUCCUACGGGAGGCAGCAGUGGGGAAUAUUGCACAAUGGGCGCAAGCCUGAUGCAGCCAUGCCGCGUGUAUGAAGAAGGCCUUCGGGUUGUAAAGUACUUUCAGCAGUGAGGAAGGUAUCGUAGUUAAUAGCUGCGGUAUUUGACGUUAACUGCAGAAGAAGCACCGGCUAACUCCGUGCCAGCAGCCGCGGUAAUACGGAGGGUGCGAGCGUUAAUCGGAAUUACUGGGCGUAAAGCGCAUGCAGGUGGUUUGUUAAGUCAGAUGUGAAAGCCCGGGGCUCAACCUCGGAAUAGCAUUUGAAACUGGCAGACUAGAGUACUGUAGAGGGGGGUAGAAUUUCAGGUGUAGCGGUGAAAUGCGUAGAGAUCUGAAGG